AUUGAACGCUGGCGGCAGGCCUAACACAUGCAAGUCGGACGGUAGCACAGAGGAGCUUGCUCUUCGGGUGACGAGUGGCGGACGGGUGAGUAAUGUAUGGGGAUCUGCCCGAUAGAGGAGGAUAACCACUGGAAACGGGGGCUAAUACCGCAUAACGUCGCAAGACCAAAGAGGGGGACCUUCGGGCUUCGCACUAUCGGAUGAACCCAGAUGGGAUUAGAUAGUAGGCGGGGUAACGGCCCAACUAGGCGACGAUCACGAGCUGGCCUGAGAGGAUGACCAGCCACACUGGAACUGAGACACGGUCCAGACUCCUACGGGAGGCAGCAGUGGGGAAUAUUGCACAAUGGGCGCAAGCCUGAUGCAGCCAUGCCGCGUGUAUGAAGAAGGCCUUCGGGUUGUAAAGUACUUUCAGCGGGGAGGAAGGCGAUGUGGUUAAUAACCGCGUCGAUUGACGUUACCCGCAGAAGAAGCACCGGCUAACUCCGUGCCAGCCGCCGCGGUAA
RNAcentral lists this ribosomal RNA (506 nucleotides) under uncultured bacterium. Its description in RNAcentral is "partial 16S ribosomal RNA". It matches the Rfam family "Bacterial small subunit ribosomal RNA", at positions 29 to 523 of the family's 1533-position model. The record is from RNAcentral.